This 331-nucleotide ribosomal RNA is filed under the name uncultured bacterium. Its description in RNAcentral is "partial 16S ribosomal RNA". It matches the Rfam family "Bacterial small subunit ribosomal RNA", at positions 338 to 665 of the family's 1533-position model. The record is from RNAcentral.
CCUACGGGAGGCAGCAGUGAGGAAUAUUGGUCAAUGGGCGCGAGCCUGAACCAGCCAAGUCGCGUGAGGGAUGACGGUCCUACGGAUUGUAAACCUCUUUUGCCGGGGAGCAAGCGUGCGUUCGUGAACGCGCGUCGAGAGUACCCGGAGAAAAAGCAUCGGCUAACUCCGUGCCAGCAGCCGCGGUAAUACGGAGGAUCCGAGCGGUAUCCGGAUUUAUUGGGUUUAAAGGGAGCGUAGGCGGAUUGUUAAGUCAGUGGUAAAAGUUCGGGGCUCAACCGUAACAGUGCAGUGGAACUGGCCAGUUUUGGGUGGAGUAGAGUAGGGCGGA